Molecule: ribosomal RNA, 513 nt
Filed under: uncultured bacterium
Lineage: Bacteria
Description: bacterial SSU rRNA
Rfam family: Bacterial small subunit ribosomal RNA
Source: RNAcentral
GAUGAACGCUAGCGGCAGGCCUAACACAUGCAAGUCGAGGGGCAUCGCGGUGCAGCAAUGCACUGGCGGCGACCGGCGUACGGGUGCGUAACGCGUAUGCAACCUGCCCCGCACCGGGGGAUAGCCCGCCGAAAGGCGGAUUAAUACCCCAUGGCCCCGGGGGCCCGCAUGGGCAUCCGGGUAAAGCCUUGGCGGUGCGGGAUGGGCAUGCGUGCCAUUAGCUGGCUGGUGGGGUAACGGCCCACCAGGGCAACGAUGGCUAGGGGGUCUGAGAGGAUGGUCCCCCACACUGGUACUGAGACACGGACCAGACUCCUACGGGAGGCAGCAGUGAGGAAUAUUGGUCAAUGGGCGGAAGCCUGAACCAGCCAUGCCGCGUGCGGGAUGAAGGCCCUACGGGUUGUAAACCGCUUUUCCCCCGGGAAGAAUAAGCCCCCCGCGGGGGUCGAGUGCCGGUACCGGGGAAUAAGGAUCGGCUAACUCCGUGCCAGCAGCCGCGGUAACACGAGAGUA